This 1103-nucleotide long non-coding RNA is filed under the name Coturnix japonica (Japanese quail). RNAcentral describes it as "lncRNA (ENSCJPG00005015546.1)". Lineage: Eukaryota; Metazoa; Chordata; Aves; Galliformes; Phasianidae. The record is from RNAcentral.
GCGAGGAUUACAACACUAGUUACAAGGUUAGAGUCAGUCCCUUGAGAAAUGAUUUACCAGAGAUUAAUAUUUUUCUUUAAUCAUAUAAUGAAAGUAUCAACAUGUCUACAUAUGUGGGAUCACUUCAUGUAAAAAGGCAGGUCUUUACAUAAGCAAACAAACAAAACCCUGCCUUGUAGACCAGAUCUAAACACAGUGGCCUCUUUUUUACAGGUCUUGAAUACUUUUUCUUCCUCUGAAAUGAACCAGCGCCAACAUUUACAGAAGUCAUACUGAUUGCCACCUAAUUAUAGGCACAUAUGUGAGAACAUUGGCUUUCAUGUUUUUCAAGCAACAGAAUGCAGGCUGAACUUCUAACCUUAUUUUUUUUUUUUUUUUUCCUCUGGCAGCUACAAUCAACAAAUAAAUGACACUGUGAUAUGUGAAAAUGUACAUAGGCAGACACGACAUCAUCUGUGAACAUCAGGUUCAUUUGUAAGAGCUAGGAUCUGAGGAGAAGGAAGACAAAACAGAAAUAUGUGUAGUCUAGUACUCAUAUUUAAAGUUGCUAUUUAUUCUUCUUUUAGCUCAAAUCUAUGCUGCAAAAACAGGACAAACACUUGAAAUAUAUCCAGGAGUACAGAGUGUGUUUUUCAUAGGAGGAAUGGGAAAGCAGGAAACAACAGUAACAUUUGCCAUUUCUUUAGAUAUACCUGGAGCAUGUAUGGGUAAGAUGGAAAAGGAGAUUUUCAGAAAAGCAAAGUUUUCUUGGAAUGAUAUUGCAGUAACUUACUAUGAAGAAAAACAGUAUGCAAGAGAAGAACUUCUCCCUAAUGUUUUGAGAUAUCUCAAGUUUGACCAUACACAGUAAUCCAGAAACUGUCUCCUUUCAGCAGUUUCAGGGGGAAUACCUACCCAGUCCUGCUGGAUAAUUUCUACCUCUCUCUCAAAUAUAUAGAAGGAAUCACUACAUCUUUCAUCAAGACGUCAGAGGACUGCUGUUACUAAAGGAUGGAAGGAGGAAACUUGACAUAUCAGAAGAAAUACAGAAAGUAUUUUUCUGCAUUGACUUAAAGUAAUCGGGGUGAAUCCCUAAUAGAGCUUAUCAGCUAAAAAUGUAAUAU